RNAcentral lists this ribosomal RNA (119 nucleotides) under Phascolarctos cinereus (koala). The record is from RNAcentral. Lineage: Eukaryota; Metazoa; Chordata; Mammalia; Diprotodontia; Phascolarctidae.
UUCAUCAGCCAUAGCACCCUGAAUGUGCCUAAUCUGGUUUGAUCUUGGAAGCAAAGCAGGGUCAGGCUUACUUAGUACCUGGAUGGGAGACUACCCUGGAAUACUGGGUGCUAUAGGCU